UCCUCCUUGAUGACCACUACUGUAAGUUUCUCUUGUCCUCUUUCAUAUUCUCCUUGCCUUAAUUUCCCCAACAAUGACAUAAUUAGCCCAUUUAGCUCCAAAAUGCCAUAAUAACCUCAAAAUGGCAUAAGAACCUUGGUUAGCUCAUUAAUAUUAUAUACUUAGCUAGUUUUCCUCUAAAAUGGGAUAAUUAGCCCAUAUAGCUCCAAAAAGACAUAGUUAGCUAGUUGAG
RNAcentral lists this long non-coding RNA (232 nucleotides) under Hordeum vulgare. Its description in RNAcentral is "long non-coding RNA (HVUL_LNC016434)". The record is from RNAcentral. Lineage: Eukaryota; Viridiplantae; Streptophyta; Magnoliopsida; Poales; Poaceae.